RNAcentral lists this ribosomal RNA (788 nucleotides) under uncultured bacterium. Its description in RNAcentral is "bacterial SSU rRNA". It matches the Rfam family "Bacterial small subunit ribosomal RNA", at positions 637 to 1426 of the family's 1533-position model. The record is from RNAcentral.
UAAGCUAGAGUANGUCAGAGGGGGGUAGAAUUCCACGUGUAGCAGUGAAAUGCGUAGAGAUGUGGAGGAAUACCGAUGGCGAAGGCAGCCCCCUGGGAUAAUACUGACGUUCAUGCUCGAAAGCGUGGGUAGCAAACAGGAUUAGAUACCCUGGUAGUCCACGCCCUAAACGAUGUCAAUUAGCUGUUGGGGCACUUGAUGCCUUAGUAGCGAAGCUAACGCGUGAAAUUGACCGCCUGGGGAGUACGGUCGCAAGAUUAAAACUCAAAGGAAUUGACGGGGACCCGCACAAGCGGUGGAUGAUGUGGAUUAAUUCGAUGCAACGCGAAGAACCUUACCUGGUCUUGACAUGUACGGAAUCUUCCAGAGACGGAAGAGUGCCUUCGGGAGCCGUAACACAGGUGCUGCAUGGCUGUCGUCAGCUCGUGUCGUGAGAUGUUGGGUUAAGUCCCGCAACGAGCGCAACCCUUGUCAUUAGUUGCCACCAUUCAGUUGGGCACUCUAAUGAGACUGCCGGUGACAAACCGGAGGAAGGUGGGGAUGACGCCAAGUCCUCAUGGCCCUUAUGACCAGGGCUUCACACGUCAUACAAUGGUCGGUACAGAGGGUAGCCAAGCCGCGAGGUGGAGCCAAUCUCAGAAAACCGAUCGUAGUCCGGAUUGCACUCUGCAACUCGAGUGCAUGAAGUCGGAAUCGCUAGUAAUCGCAGGUCAGCAUACUGCGGUGAAUACGUUCCCGGGUCUUGUACACACCGCCCGUCACACCAUGGGAGUGGGGGAUACCAGAAG